GACAAUUCUGUCUCCUUUAGAGACGGAUUUAUUAUGUUUUGAAUUCAAUAUUUAGAGACGGAUGUUUAUUUGAUAGUGACAGAUAAAUUCUGUCUCCAAUCAGAGACAAAAUAUAAAAUCUGUCUCUGAUAGUUUAGAGACGAGGAAAUUAAAGACAGAAUCAAAUCGGUCUCUAAUUCUGUCUCUAACAUGUUUAGUGACGGAAUAUUGGCAUUUUAG
Molecule: long non-coding RNA, 219 nt
Filed under: Trifolium pratense (red clover)
Lineage: Eukaryota; Viridiplantae; Streptophyta; Magnoliopsida; Fabales; Fabaceae
Description: long non-coding RNA (TPRA_LNC007780)
Source: RNAcentral